CCUACGGGCGGCAGCAGUGAGGAAUAUUGGUCAAUGGACGAGAGUCUGAACCAGCCAAGUAGCGUGAAGGAUGACUGCCCUAUGGGUUGUAAACUUCUUUUAUAAAGGAAUAAAACGAGGCACGUGUGCCUUUUUGCAUGUACUUUAUGAAUAAGGAUCGGCUAACUCCGUGCCAGCAGCCGCGGUAAUACGGAGGAUCCGAGCGUUAUCCGGAUUUAUUGGGUUUAAAGGGAGCGUAGAUGGGUUGUUAAGUCAGUUGUGAAAGUUUGCGGCGCAACCGUAAAAUUGCAAUUGAUACUGGCAGUCGUGAGUACAGUUGAGGUAGGCGGAAUUCGUGGUGUAGCGGUGAAAUGCUUAGAUAUCACGAAGAACCCCGAUUGCGAAGGCAGCUUACUAAACUGUGACUGACAUUGAUGCUCGAAAGUGUGGGUAUCAAACAGGAUUAGAUACCCCAGUAGUC
This 460-nucleotide ribosomal RNA is filed under the name uncultured bacterium. RNAcentral describes it as "partial 16S ribosomal RNA". It matches the Rfam family "Bacterial small subunit ribosomal RNA", at positions 338 to 795 of the family's 1533-position model. The record is from RNAcentral.